CACCUUCUGUUAUGGAAAUAGAAAUGGAGGAGCUUGAUAAAUGGAUGAACAGCAUGAAUAGAAAUGCUGACAGUGAAUGUUUACCUACUUUGAAGGAAGAAAAGGAAUCAAACCACAACCCAAGUGACAAUGAAUCCUAAAACUGAAUGGUGCUAAUGUUUUCCAAGAGAAGCAGCCCCCGAGGGAUCCUGCUGGGCCUGCCAACAGAGG
This is a long non-coding RNA of Galeopterus variegatus (Sunda flying lemur), 210 nucleotides long. RefSeq lists it as uncharacterized. The transcript has 3 exons. Lineage: Eukaryota; Metazoa; Chordata; Mammalia; Dermoptera; Cynocephalidae. The record is from RefSeq and is a predicted model, not a curated record.